AACUCUCCAACACAUUCUUCUCAAUAGAUCAUACAUUGCAUUCCAAAUUCUUCGAUUCUCGGCGUCAUGCGCAUAAGCUUCAGGUGAAGAGUACACAAAAUAACCACCUGGUCUGAGCAAUCUGUCAAGUUCUAACAGAAGAAUGCCAUCUCUUUGGAGCCAAUCAAUUCUACAGCGUGAACAAUGUGCCAACUCGAAUGACCUGCUAGGAUAAGGUAGCCUUUUGGUUCCCAAGACUCCUAGCGUAGAUGGGAUUCCCCUUUCCAAAGCAAACUGUAUCUGAUUCUCAUGUACAUCAUUAGGAGCAAGUGACAUAGCUAUAAUAUCAUGGGAAAGAAGAUAAGCCCCAAAACUAGCAACACCACAGCCAACAUCAAGAACAUUUCUUAUGUUUCCACCAUUGCUGAGCUUUUCACCAGGCAAUUUGAGCAUCCCUGCAAUUGCUGCAAUAUAUAUGUCAGCUCCAUAAUGAAAAUGUGUUCCUCCGCCAGGGAAUUUUAUCUUGUCUCCAUCCACAAUCAUCCAGUUUUGGUCCGACUUUUCCUGUGCAAGAUGUGUAUGGGGUAUGUUUGCUUUCCACACUUGGUCUCUACUAGCUGGCCAUCUAAUUGGGAUCUUGUAACCAGCUGGAGGUGGGAUAAGACAAUUGAAACGACGUUCAGGAGGAGGACAAUGUCUCUCAUAAUGCUCCAUAACAGUCAAAUUGAGCCUCAAUCUCAAUUGAUAUAUCAAAUUUCUGUCAAGGCAGGGUAUCAACUCCGAGUAGCUCAUAUCACAAACAGGAAUACUUUUAGGAACUUCUAGUUCUUGAUCUUCCAUAUCCAUAUCCAUGCGGCCAUGGUAAGAAAUCCCAGUAACUGGAUCAGAACCAUCAUCAAUAGCUAAAUGGUCACGCGCUAUAGGAAGACCAGGACCCAUAAACGAACAAUUAUAAAGACACACCAAACCCAAGAACACAAUCAUCCCAAAUAAAACAUAUUUCAGCAGCUUGGGUCUGUGAGACAACUCCUUCUUUUGCUUCAUUUUAACAAAAAAACAAAAAAACACCCACUUCAAGAUUUCAGCUUUACUCAACUGGGGUUCUUGAAAAAACACUCAAAUCCCAAGUAAGAGAUGCAGAUCCAUUUCUGUCAUAGCAAGCAAAGAAUUAAGACUGUUCAGUACCCAUAAAAGGAGUUGCCAAGAUUCACUUUUUUCAAUUUCAGUGUGUUUUUAGGAGUCAGUAGAAGGAACAUGUGGGGAUUUUGGAUGACUGGGAGUUCAGCUCAGUGUGGGUUGGCUACUGUUUGGUGCCGCUUUUAGGA
RNAcentral lists this unclassified non-coding RNA (1304 nucleotides) under Hevea brasiliensis (rubber tree). Lineage: Eukaryota; Viridiplantae; Streptophyta; Magnoliopsida; Malpighiales; Euphorbiaceae. The record is from RNAcentral.